This 449-nucleotide ribosomal RNA is filed under the name uncultured bacterium. RNAcentral's name for it is "bacterial SSU rRNA". It matches the Rfam family "Bacterial small subunit ribosomal RNA", at positions 329 to 794 of the family's 1533-position model. The record is from RNAcentral.
GGCCAGACUCCUACGGGAGGCAGCAGUGGGGAAUAUUGCACAAUGGGGGAAACCCUGAUGCAGCAACGCCGCGUGAGUGAAGAAGUAUUUCGGUAUGCAAAGCUCUAUCAGCAGGGAAGAGAAUGACGGUACCUGACUAAGAAGCCCCGGCUAACUACGUGCCAGCAGCCGCGGUAAUACGUAGGGGGCGAGCGUUAUCCGGAUUUACUGGGUGUAAAGGGGGCGCAGACGGCGAUGCAAGCCAGGAGUGAAAGCCCGGGGCCCAACCCCGGGACUGCUCUUGGAACUGCGUGGCUGGAGUGCAGGAGGGGCAGGCGGAAUUCCUGGUGUAGCGGUGAAAUGCGUAGAUAUCAGGAGGAACACCGGUGGCGAAGGCGGCCUGCUGGACUGCAACUGACGUUGAGGCCCGAAAGCGUGGGGAGCAAACAGGAUUAGAUACCCUGGUAUGU